GAUUGAAUUGUCUCUUUUUCUUUUCAGUCGAUGAUGUUGAUGUUGUCUGUGUACCCAUGGGUCGACGAGUUGUCAGGUUUCUCUUUUGCUACCGAGUUGAACUGUUGCUGUUAGUGCUGCUUUGCAUCCACGAACACAAGUGUCCAGACUACAUCUGGGCCCCUCAUGAGGACUGGACCAAAAUAAGGCGGCCAUAUUGUGCGCAGAGUUUCUGAGAACCCCACAUUUGAUUAUGUUCGCGAACUAAUGUCAGCGGUGGAGAGGCUGGUGCAGGACGUCAGUGACGUGGAGCCAGAUGAAUUUGAGGCAAUACCGGGUGUGCCCGAGGCUGAGAG
This is a long non-coding RNA of Corythoichthys intestinalis (scribbled pipefish), 335 nucleotides long. RefSeq lists it as uncharacterized. The record is from RefSeq and is a predicted model, not a curated record. Lineage: Eukaryota; Metazoa; Chordata; Actinopteri; Syngnathiformes; Syngnathidae. The transcript is spliced from 3 exons.